UACGUAGGGUGCGAGCGUUGUCCGGAAUUACUGGGCGUAAAGAGCUCGUAGGUGGUUUGUCGCGUUGUUCGUGAAAACUCACAGCUUAACUGUGGGCGUGCGGGCGAUACGGGCAGACUGGAGUACUGCAGGGGAGACUGGAAUUCCUGGUGUAGCGGUGGAAUGCGCAGAUAUCAGGAGGAACACCGGUGGCGAAGGCGGGUCUCUGGGCAGUAACUGACGCUGAGGAGCGAAAGCGUGGGGAGCGAACAGGAUUAGAAACCCCUGUAGUCC
RNAcentral lists this ribosomal RNA (273 nucleotides) under uncultured bacterium. RNAcentral describes it as "partial 16S ribosomal RNA". It matches the Rfam family "Bacterial small subunit ribosomal RNA", at positions 524 to 796 of the family's 1533-position model. The record is from RNAcentral.